AAAAUGAGAAAAAGAAGAAAAAAGGCUGCGCACUCAGAUAAAAUUGGAAUAAAAUAAAACUUUUUUAUUUUAUUCCAAUUUUAUCUGAGUGCGCAGCCUUUUUUCUUCUUUUUCUCAUUUU
Pelobates cultripes (western spadefoot toad) is the source of this 121-nucleotide non-coding RNA. The record is from the annotation of a GenBank genome assembly. Lineage: Eukaryota; Metazoa; Chordata; Amphibia; Anura; Pelobatidae.